RNAcentral lists this ribosomal RNA (497 nucleotides) under uncultured bacterium. RNAcentral's name for it is "partial 16S ribosomal RNA". It matches the Rfam family "Bacterial small subunit ribosomal RNA", at positions 29 to 507 of the family's 1533-position model. The record is from RNAcentral.
CAUGAACGCUGGCGGCGUGCCUAAUACAUGCAAGUCGAGCGAACGGACGAGAAGCUUGCUUCUCUGAUGUUAGCGGCGGACGGGUGAGUAACACGUGGAUAACCUACCUAUAAGACUGGGAUAACUUCGGGAAACCGGAGCUAAUACCGGAUAAUAUUUUGAACCGCAUGGUUCAAAAGUGAAAGACGGUCUUGCUGUCACUUAUAGAUGGAUCCGCGCUGCAUUAGCUAGUUGGUAAGGUAACGGCUUACCAAGGCAACGAUGCAUAGCCGACCUGAGAGGGUGAUCGGCCACACUGGAACUGAGACACGGUCCAGACUCCUACGGGAGGCAGCAGUAGGGAAUCUUCCGCAAUGGGCGAAAGCCUGACGGAGCAACGCCGCGUGAGUGAUGAAGGUCUUCGGAUCGUAAAACUCUGUUAUUAGGGAAGAACAUAUGUGUAAGUAACUGUGCACAUCUUGACGGUACCUAAUCAGAAAGCCACGGCUAACUACGUG